Bubalus bubalis (water buffalo) is the source of this 1733-nucleotide long non-coding RNA. RefSeq lists it as uncharacterized. The record is from RefSeq and is a predicted model, not a curated record. NCBI's taxonomy places the organism in Eukaryota, Metazoa, Chordata, Mammalia, Artiodactyla, Bovidae. The transcript has 7 exons.
UCGACUUUUCAGCACCUGUUGCCCACGUGCUCCUCGCAGGCUCCUCCUCCAGGCCCCUCCUGCCUGCAGCGCAGCGCAAAGCAAACGUCUGAGUAGAGCGUUUGAGUAGAUCUGGGGGCUUCUCUCCCUGUGACUCCUUCGUUUCCGGGAUUCCAUCCUAUUUCCAGUCACUCUGGCAUUCCCAAGGUCCUUCCUCUGAUACCUUGAACCAAGCAGGAGAAGGAGGCGGGACUUCAGAGCAUUCACUACAGCAAGCAGCUGGAUUCCUUGCUGAGCACUUUUGCAGUCUAAUUAGGCUCUACUAAGAACUAAAUGGUAAAUCAAAUUGGGUCUGCUCUAGGGAACUGACCAUCUUAGACUCAAGAGAGGAAGAAUCAAGAGACCCUUCCCAACUGUUUGAACCUGCCUGUUGGAACUCGGGGAAGGUCAUGGAAGCUGAAUGAAGAAUCAGAGAACUGGGGGACACAGGAAGGCUUUUGUGCCCAGGAGCUCCACAACGUCUUGCUUGGGAGAACUUCAGCUGAACUUCCUUUAAGGGUUACCGCCCUGAGGCUCUUGACGUUUUGCAGGACUUCUCUGCAAGCCAAGAAUCAGAUCUUUAGAGAGGACCAGACUCAGGGCCUUCUGGACUGUCCCCUGAACAACGACCACAUUGUCACACCUCUUCUGCCUGCUGAAAGAAACCAUCGAACCGAAGUUUCCAGAUCUUCCCUUCUCAUCCUCGUCCUCCUCCAGUUGGCCCACCGCAGCCCUGCGCUCCCAGGCUGAGAAGUCAAAUUCAUGCUCUAGGAUGGCACCGUUUUCUCUGCACUCAGCCCGUUGGUCCACUUUCCUUGCUUCUCCUCUCGGAUACCCAGGUUCCAGGAUCAGUUCUUUGCUUAAGGAGUUUCCGAAUGGCGUGGAGUCAAGGAAAGUGAAGUGGGACAGGGUAUCCACUUUAGACUUUGGCUUCCCCAUAGAGCAGUGACAAGAGUGACCAGCACUUAUGUGGUUUCUUGGGGUUCACAAAGACUUUGCAUAUUAGUAACUUCAUGUGACCCCCAUAACCACACUGUGAUGUACACCCAGAAACAUUUUGUGUGGGAGGAAGUGGGGAGAUCUCUAGGCUGGGUAGUGGAUUCCUUCCUUUGCUGUGAGGAAUAUCACAACAGGCCUCUGUGUGCCUGGAGAAGAAUUAAAUUUAAAUGUAAUAGGAUGGCUGACAGCCUAAUACUCAUGUUCCUCAUUUGUUCUUAAGGAAAUCCAGAGAAUGUUCUAUAAUAAAAUCUAUCCAGGGGAAAAUAACUUUUAUCACUCAUGCCUUCGUGAGGUCCCGAAUAACUUAACCUAAGGCAUAAGCAUCUGGACUUGGAGGGGGCUGUGGUGCUGCUAGGAAGGUGGGUGGGGAACAAAGGCUGCAUAGAAAAUAAAUGCUAAUUUAGAAAUAUAUAGAGGAAAGUAUAAAUUUAAGAGGUUCUCCUGUAACUUUUGAUAGUUUAAUGUUUUUGUUUCCUGCCUUUCUCUUUGAAUAUAAAUAAUAUAUUAAUAUUACACAUAAAUUUAUAAUCGUAUUUUUACAGCCUGCUCUUUUUUUUUCUUGAUUCAUUAUGAAUAUUAUUCCACACUGUUAAAAAAUUCUUUCAAAAUAUCACAUAUAUUGGCUGGAACAGUAUUUAACAAUUUUCCAGUUGUGUGAUAUUUAUGUUGUUGCCGAUGUUUCUCUGUUAUAAUAAAACUGCAAUUAUCCUUAUGCU